RNAcentral lists this ribosomal RNA (253 nucleotides) under uncultured bacterium. RNAcentral describes it as "partial 16S ribosomal RNA". It matches the Rfam family "Bacterial small subunit ribosomal RNA", at positions 524 to 776 of the family's 1533-position model. The record is from RNAcentral.
UACGUAGGGGGCAAGCGUUGUCCGGAUUUACUGGGCGUAAAGAGCGCGCAGGCGGUCGUUUAAGUCGAAUGUGAAAGCCCCCGGCUCAACUGGGGAGGGUCACUCGAUACUGAUCGACUCGAAGGCAGAAGAGGGAAGCGGAAUUCCCGGUGUAGUGGUGAAAUGCGUAGAUAUCGGGAGGAACACCAGUGGCGAAGGCGGCUUUCUGGUCUGCUCUUGACGCUGAGGCGCGAAAGCUAGGGUAGCAAACGGG